UUAAGCGACUAAGCGUACACGGUGGAUGCCCUGGCAGUCAGAGGCGAUGAAGGACGUGCUAAUCUGCGAUAAGCGUCGGUAAGGUGAUAUGAACCGUUAUAACCGGCGAUUUCCGAAUGGGGAAACCCAGUGUGAUUCGUCACACUAUCAUUAACUGAAUCCAUAGGUUAAUGAGGCGAACCGGGGGAACUGAAACAUCUAAGUACCCCGAGGAAAAGAAAUCAACCGAGAUUCCCCCAGUAGCGGCGAGCGAACGGGGAGCAGCCCAGAGCCUGAAUCAGUGUGUGUGUUAGUGGAAGCGUCUGGAAAGGCGUGCGAUACAGGGUGACAGCCCCGUACACAAAAAUGCACAUAUUGUGAGCUCGAUGAGUAGGGCGGGACACGUGGUAUCCUGUCUGAAUAUGGGGGGACCAUCCUCCAAGGCUAAAUACUCCUGACUGACCGAUAGUGAACCAGUACCGUGAGGGAAAGGCGAAAAGAACCCCGGCGAGGGGAGUGAAAAAGAACCUGAAACCGUGUACGUACAAGCAGUGGGAGCACGCUUAGGCGUGUGACUGCGUACCUUUUGUAUAAUGGGUCAGCGACUUAUAUUCUGUAGCAAGGUUAACCGAAUAGGGGAGCCGAAGGGAAACCGAGUCUUAACUGGGCGUUAAGUUGCAGGGUAUAGACCCGAAACCCGGUGAUCUAGCCAUGGGCAGGUUGAAGGUUGGGUAACACUAACUGGAGGACCGAACCGACUAAUGUUGAAAAAUUAGCGGAUGACUUGUGGCUGGGGGUGAAAGGCCAAUCAAACCGGGAGAUAGCUGGUUCUCCCCGAAAGCUAUUUAGGUAGCGCCUCGUGAAUUCAUCUCCGGGGGUAGAGCACUGUUUCGGCAAGGGGGUCAUCCCGACUUACCAACCCGAUGCAAACUGCGAAUACCGGAGAAUGUUAUCACGGGAGACACACGGCGGGUGCUAACGUCCGUCGUGAAGAGGGAAACAACCCAGACCGCCAGCUAAGGUCCCAAAGUCAUGGUUAAGUGGGAAACGAUGUGGGAAGGCCCAGACAGCCAGGAUGUUGGCUUAGAAGCAGCCAUCAUUUAAAGAAAGCGUAAUAGCUCACUGGUCGAGUCGGCCUGCGCGGAAGAUGUAACGGGGCUAAACCAUGCACCGAAGCUGCGGCAGCGACGCUUAUGCGUUGUUGGGUAGGGGAGCGUUCUGUAAGCCUGCGAAGGUGUGCUGUGAGGCAUGCUGGAGGUAUCAGAAGUGCGAAUGCUGACAUAAGUAACGAUAAAGCGGGUGAAAAGCCCGCUCGCCGGAAGACCAAGGGUUCCUGUCCAACGUUAAUCGGGGCAGGGUGAGUCGACCCCUAAGGCGAGGCCGAAAGGCGUAGUCGAUGGGAAACAGGUUAAUAUUCCUGUACUUGGUGUUACUGCGAAGGGGGACGGAGAAGGCUAUGUUGGCCGGGCGACGGUUGUCCCGGUUUAAGCGUGUAGGCUGGUUUUCCAGGCAAAUCCGGAAAACUAAGGCUGAGGCGUGAUGACGAGGCACUACGGUGCUGAAGCAACAAAUGCCCUGCUUCCAGGAAAAGCCUCUAAGCAUCAGGUAACAUCAAAUCGUACCCCAAACCGACACAGGUGGUCAGGUAGAGAAUACCAAGGCGCUUGAGAGAACUCGGGUGAAGGAACUAGGCAAAAUGGUGCCGUAACUUCGGGAGAAGGCACGCUGAUAUGUAGGUGAAGUCCCUCGCGGAUGGAGCUGAAAUCAGUCGAAGAUACCAGCUGGCUGCAACUGUUUAUUAAAAACACAGCACUGUGCAAACACGAAAGUGGACGUAUACGGUGUGACGCCUGCCCGGUGCCGGAAGGUUAAUUGAUGGGGUUAGCGCAAGCGAAGCUCUUGAUCGAAGCCCCGGUAAACGGCGGCCGUAACUAUAACGGUCCUAAGGUAGCGAAAUUCCUUGUCGGGUAAGUUCCGACCUGCACGAAUGGCGUAAUGAUGGCCAGGCUGUCUCCACCCGAGACUCAGUGAAAUUGAACUCGCUGUGAAGAUGCAGUGUACCCGCGGCAAGACGGAAAGACCCCGUGAACCUUUACUAUAGCUUGACACUGAACAUUGAGCCUUGAUGUGUAGGAUAGGUGGGAGGCUUGGAAGUGUGGACGCCAGUCUGCAUGGAGCCGACCUUGAAAUACCACCCUUUAAUGUUUGAUGUUCUAACGUUGACCCGUGAUCCGGGUUGCGGACAGUGUCUGGUGGGUAGUUUGACUGGGGCGGUCUCCUCCUAAAGAGUAACGGAGGAGCACGAAGGUUGGCUAAUCCUGGUCGGACAUCAGGAGGUUAGUGCAAUGGCAUAAGCCAGCUUGACUGCGAGCGUGACGGCGCGAGCAGGUGCGAAAGCAGGUCAUAGUGAUCCGGUGGUUCUGAAUGGAAGGGCCAUCGCUCAACGGAUAAAAGGUACUCCGGGGAUAACAGGCUGAUACCGCCCAAGAGUUCAUAUCGACGGCGGUGUUUGGCACCUCGAUGUCGGCUCAUCACAUCCUGGGGCUGAAGUAGGUCCCAAGGGUAUGGCUGUUCGCCAUUUAAAGUGGUACGCGAGCUGGGUUUAGAACGUCGUGAGACAGUUCGGUCCCUAUCUGCCGUGGGCGCUGGAGAACUGAGGGGGGCUGCUCCUAGUACGAGAGGACCGGAGUGGACGCAUCACUGGUGUUCGGGUUGUCAUGCCAAUGGCACUGCCCGGUAGCUAAAUGCGGAAGAGAUAAGUGCUGAAAGCAUCUAAGCACGAAACUUGCCCCGAGAUGAGUUCUCCCUGACUCCUUGAGAGUCCUGAAGGAACGUUGAAGACGACGACGUUGAUAGGCCGGGUGUGUAAGCGCAGCGAUGCGUUGAGCUAACCGGUACUAAUGAACCGUGAGGCUUAACCU
RNAcentral lists this ribosomal RNA (2900 nucleotides) under Escherichia coli. Its description in RNAcentral is "23S ribosomal RNA". It matches the Rfam family "Bacterial large subunit ribosomal RNA". The record is from RNAcentral. Lineage: Bacteria; Pseudomonadati; Pseudomonadota; Gammaproteobacteria; Enterobacterales; Enterobacteriaceae.